CUUCUUCUCUGCUAUUUCCUUAUGUUCAAUCAUACAGAACUAACGCUAAGAUCAUGUUUUUUUUCUGAUGGGCUAAAGUUUUUGUAAUCCAGUACAAGCAAAUCCACUGUUUAUGAAUUCUACGAUAUAAAAUUAUACAAAACUUCUAAAAAUAUUUUACCUCAUAAAUAGGAUAUCUCUUCGUAAUAUUUUUGAAGCAAUGAUAUUUUAGUAUCAGUCCCAUAAUUCUUUCAAAUAUAAUAAGAACAUAUGAAUUAUAAUAGAAUUAUAAUUUAAAUACACUAAAAAUAUGAUAGCCAAAACUACACUCUCAUUUCUGUAUCAAAAAGAUAAAAUAAAAUAACAUCUCAUUUGAAAUUUAAAUAACACAAUAUGAAAGUCAUUGAGAUGUACAUAUAAACUUUUAUUCUGAAUUAUGAUCAGAUGAUAAAAAUGACGAAUUAAUUUUUUUUUUAAAAAGAAAAUUUUAAAUAUUUCAUCUCUCUUUCAUAACAUUAAUUUAGAGCGCUGAUUUUAUCUCAUCUUUUUACUAAUUAGAGCUUUGACUGCCGGUUUGUUCUUGCGAAAUUAACUAUUAUUCCCAAUUGCAGAGUCCUCAGCUCCAGAAUAAGCAAUGCAUGCAGCUAAGCACAUCUCCUUGCAAUUGUCAAAGGAGGCAGUGUCUGAAUUUGCACUGAAUUUUGAGCAUCUCCCAUAGCAAUCUCCAUAGCAAGAGCUCUCCGCCACUGACUCGGUGCUAGCCACUUGCCAGGGCCAACCCCAGGCUUCUCCAACCUUAAAACAUACAAACAUGACAAGCAUUGCAAUGAGGACCGUUUUGGUGAUUUUGCUUCUUGCCAUAUGUUUUUAUGUUUUAUUUGGUUCAAUUGAAUGGGGUUGGAAGAGGAGGUAUUAUUUUGUUGCACAGGGUAAUGUCA
This 917-nucleotide long non-coding RNA is filed under the name Ricinus communis (castor bean). Its description in RNAcentral is "long non-coding RNA (RCOM_LNC002729)". Lineage: Eukaryota; Viridiplantae; Streptophyta; Magnoliopsida; Malpighiales; Euphorbiaceae. The record is from RNAcentral.